RNAcentral lists this unclassified non-coding RNA (1055 nucleotides) under Hevea brasiliensis (rubber tree). The record is from RNAcentral. Lineage: Eukaryota; Viridiplantae; Streptophyta; Magnoliopsida; Malpighiales; Euphorbiaceae.
UCAAAAAAAAAAAAAAAGUUCCCACAAUUAGAGCUGCCAAUUCGUGUUUGCAGCUCAUAAACUAAUGUCUAACUAGAACACAACCCAUUUAAUUAAUCGUGUCGAAAUACAGAGUCCUAACAUGGAUAUGUUUAUGAAAACAGAUUACACAAUACAUCCCAUUUAACCCGGGUUAUUAUUGGUGUUACGUCCCACGACAUGUUUAACCCGUUUAAAUAAAUGGGUUAUAUAAAUUUUGGGAUUUGCAUUUUUUAUAGCAUUGAAGUAGUUAACAUAGAAUAUUUUUUUUUCUUUUUCCCCAAUGAAACUAAUUUGUUACACUUAUAGAGAUCUUUCAAUCUAUUAUAUGAUAAUAUCCAGAUACCAUUUUGUUUCCACUAAAAAUACUACAUUUGUAGACAAGAAAAUUUUAUAUUCCCAUUUUUGUUUCAAAUAAAAAAACAAUAUACAUUAGGGAACCUAGGUACAAACCCUCAAUUCUAUUGUAUGCCUUUUCUGAAUACUAAUCACAAAUCUUAUCUCAACUAUUUUCUUCAACUACAAAUUUCCUUACAACAAUAUCAUAAAGAAACAACAACCCACAACAAUCCAACCAUUGAUUUUCAAGCCCAAGACAACAAAUUGAACUACUAAGAGAUUAAAAGUUUCUAAUUCUCAUUCAACUGCCAAAAACAUCUAGUUAACAUUCUAAAUCCCUGAAACCCAUGCAGAAAAUUCCAAAAGCAUCCUUCUAAAGGGUUUUCAGACAGAUUCCCUACAUACACAGAAUAACUCACACCCUUGUUUCACCAACUCAACAUCACCCUUCAACGGAAUAAAAUUCCCCCUCAGCUAUAGAUCAGAUUUAGAAUUUCACAAAGACCCACUUCGUAAAUCUAUCCCUAUGCAAACCCCUCAAUAAAGCCCAUAAAAAAAGCAUCAAGCACCAUAAAAUUGCAAUGAAAAUUAUUGAACCAAAAUAAUCCGUACAUCAAUCUGCUAGUGUCUGUCAGAAACCAAACAGAGUAUUAUGAAAUCUGAGAAUGAAACCCUAGGGGAGAGAGAGAGAGAGAGAG